Molecule: transfer RNA, 75 nt
Filed under: Bacteroidales bacterium
Lineage: Bacteria; Pseudomonadati; Bacteroidota; Bacteroidia; Bacteroidales
Description: tRNA-Val
Rfam family: tRNA
About the family: Transfer RNA (tRNA) molecules are approximately 80 nucleotides in length. Their secondary structure includes four short double-helical elements and three loops (D, anti-codon, and T loops). Further hydrogen bonds mediate the characteristic L-shaped molecular structure. tRNAs have two regions of fundamental functional importance: the anti-codon, which is responsible for specific mRNA codon recognition, and the 3' end, to which the tRNAs corresponding amino acid is attached (by aminoacyl-tRNA synthetases). tRNAs cope with the degeneracy of the genetic code in two manners: having more than one tRNA (with a specific anti-codon) for a particular amino acid; and 'wobble' base-pairing, i.e. permitting non-standard base-pairing at the 3rd anti-codon position.
Source: RNAcentral
GGGAGAUUAGCUCAGCUGGUUCAGAGCACCUGCCUUACAAGCAGGGGGUCGGCGGUUCGAGUCCGUCAUCUCCCA